GACGAACGCUGGCGGCGUGCUUAACACAUGCAAGUCGAACGGAAAGGCCCCAGCUUGCUGGGGUACUCGAGUGGCGAACGGGUGAGUAACACGUGGGUGAUCUGCCCUGCACUCUGGGAUAAGCCUGGGAAACUGGGUCUAAUACCGGAUAGGACCGUGCUUUAGUGUGUGCGGUGGAAAGUUUUUCGGUGCAGGAUGAGCCCGCGGCCUAUCAGCUUGUUGGUGGGGUAAUGGCCUACCAAGGCGGCGACGGGUAGCCGGCCUGAGAGGGUGUACGGCCACAUUGGGACUGAGACACGGCCCAGACUCCUACGGGAGGCAGCAGUGGGGAAUAUUGCACAAUGGGCGCAAGCCUGAUGCAGCGACGCCGCGUUGGGGAUGACGGCCUUCGGGUUGUAAACCCCUUUCGGCAGGGACGAAGCUUUUGUGACGGUACCUGCAUAAGAAGCACCGGCUAACUACGU
RNAcentral lists this ribosomal RNA (464 nucleotides) under uncultured bacterium. Its description in RNAcentral is "partial 16S ribosomal RNA". It matches the Rfam family "Bacterial small subunit ribosomal RNA", at positions 28 to 506 of the family's 1533-position model. The record is from RNAcentral.